CCAUGCAUGACAAGAGACAACGGGAAAGACGAGAGCUACAUGAGCUGAGAGUCGCUGAAUGGAAUGCUCGUCUCAAGCUUACAGAUGAUCUCAUUGGGGAAAUGAAGUGUGAGAAACAUCAGGACACUGAUAAUGACCUUCAACGAAUAGAGGAGCUCCUCAAUCAACCUAGGAAUGAGAAAGGUGCAAAGAGCUCUGACAGCCAGUAACAUCAGACUGGCUGAACAUUAUGACUAUGGUCUUUCUCGGAUGUUCUACUAAAUUCCUGGUACCUGCUCCCAGUAUAUGUGUCAGUCACCAUCAUUAUCAAUGUAAUACUUACCUUCAAAUGCAAAUGUUAUUUACUGCACUUAUGUGCAUAUCCCUAUUUAUUUUAAAACCUGCAGAAACUUGAUGAAGCUGAUGCAGUUGGGUAAAGUAUUUGGAUUAGACACAUUUACAAGUAACAAAUGUUUUGGGUGUUGUUAUUGUAAUUGAUGGGUUUAACCAAUGUAAAAUAUCAGUGCCAAAUAAACUCAGCAAAAAAGAAAAGUCUAUUUUUUUAUGUAUUUUAAAGAUAAUUUGUAAAAUCCAAAUAAGUUUACAAAACAUUUUCUGUACUUGUUCAAUGAACCUUAUGGAACCUUAUGGUUUAUACGCUAGUUCUGACUCUGGAAAAAAAAAAAAAAAA
Sinocyclocheilus anshuiensis is the source of this 670-nucleotide long non-coding RNA. RefSeq lists it as uncharacterized. The transcript has 2 exons. The record is from RefSeq and is a predicted model, not a curated record. NCBI's taxonomy places the organism in Eukaryota, Metazoa, Chordata, Actinopteri, Cypriniformes, Cyprinidae.